This 452-nucleotide ribosomal RNA is filed under the name Bathelium tuberculosum. RNAcentral describes it as "eukaryotic LSU rRNA". It matches the Rfam family "Eukaryotic large subunit ribosomal RNA", at positions 140 to 626 of the family's 3401-position model. Lineage: Eukaryota; Fungi; Ascomycota; Dothideomycetes; Trypetheliales; Trypetheliaceae. The record is from RNAcentral.
GAGUUGUAAUUUGCAGAGGAUGCUUUGGAUGCUGUCCGGUGUAAAGUCCCUUGGAACAGGGCGCCGUGGAGGAUGAAAGCUCCGUCCGCAUCGGAUUCAGCUUUCCAUGUAAAGCUCCUUCAAAGAGUCGAGUUGUUUGGGAAUGCAGCUCUAAAUGGGAGGUAAAUUUCUUCCAAAGCUAAAUACCGGCUAGAGACCGAUAGCGCACAAGUAGAGUGAUCGAAAGAUGAAAAGCACUUUGGAAAGAGAGUUAAAAAGCACGUGAAAUUGUUGAAAGGGAAGCUUAUGUCGUCAGACUUGAUGCCGAAGUUCAGCCUUAUGGUGUAUUCUUUGGCAUCAGGCUAGCAUCAGUUUGGGCAGCUGGAUAAAAGCUUUGGGAAUGUAACUCUUCGGAGUGUUAUAGCCCGAUGCAGAAUGUGGCUCGUCCAAACUGAGGUCCGCUUUGAGGAUGC